GAUGAAGAACGUAGUGAAAUGCGAUAAGUAAUGCGAAUUGCAGAAUUUCCGUGAGUCAUCGAAUCUUUGAACGCACAUUGCGCCCACUGGUAUUCCGGUGGGCAUGCCUGUUCGAGCGUCAUUAUCCUCCCUCAAACCCCGGGUUUGGUGUUGGACCCAAGUUGUGUGAACAACUGGUCUCAAAGACAAUGACGGCGUCCGUGGGACCCUCGGUGCAACGAGCUUUUAGGAGCACGCAUCGAGUUGCAAGGACCUUCCGGGCCGGUCUCCUUUACCAUUUUACAAGGUUGACCUCGGAUCAGGUAGGAAUACCCGCUGAACUUAAGCAUAUCAUAAGCGGAGGA
RNAcentral lists this unclassified non-coding RNA (344 nucleotides) under soil metagenome. RNAcentral describes it as "partial contains 5.8S ribosomal RNA, internal transcribed spacer 2, and large subunit ribosomal RNA". The stretch from base 1 to 121 matches the Rfam family "5.8S ribosomal RNA", at positions 35 to 154 of the family's 154-position model. The record is from RNAcentral.